This 1281-nucleotide unclassified non-coding RNA is filed under the name Bombus terrestris (buff-tailed bumblebee). Its description in RNAcentral is "misc RNA ENSBTSG00005028998.1". The record is from RNAcentral. Lineage: Eukaryota; Metazoa; Arthropoda; Insecta; Hymenoptera; Apidae.
GACACAUUACGAUACAUGUAUCGACUUCUAAGUUCCAUGAAACCGCGUAAUCUGUCGUCUAACGUUAACGUCGAAGUAUACUUUCGUAUCUGACUGUUAUUCAACGCCAGUGUUAUUAAUAGGCAGCGAAUAUAUCUAUGCAAAUGUAUAUUUUCACGAAGAUAAUUGGAAAAAACGGAAUCCAGAUAGAGAAUUGUUAUUUUACGUGUCAAGUAACUCUACUAACUGUUGCUAAUUCUGUCUGCGCUUACAUUACCGCUGCGAAACGUUAUCUGGAAAGGCUUCAACAUCGACGAACAGAUGGUUACUAGCCGUCGUAUCUCUGUUUUUACGUUUGCGUCACGUUAAGGUCUCAACCAUCGUAAACACGACUCUAAUUCGUAAGAAGCUAUCCGAGGUCUGCCGAGUACAGCAGGUUCGGAACCAAACGAUCGCUCAGCCGCCGUCUACACCUGCGUUAACCUACGCCUCUGCAACCAUGCAUCGAGUCUACCCCAGCAAAGAAGUAGCAAUUAUCGCCGAUAGCAUCGAAGGAACAUCUAUAACCGAUUACGCGUGUGCCAUUGCGAAGCUUUCUAACUAAUCUGCUAUUCGUUUCGUUUCUCGUAUAUCGAACGAUCGUGUAUGCGUGUAUCUGGACAGUAGGCAAUCCGCUUUUCAACUUCUCUGCAAACACUCGACGAUCGUUGUCAAGGAUACCAUCGUUGGGAUAAGACCUUUAAUUUCUUCGUCGAAAAGAAUUAUCUUCUCCGGCGUAUCACCGUCUAUCCCUAACGAGUACAUCGAGAAAUUCCUAGCGGUCAGUGAUAUUAACCCUUUGAGUGCUGGAUACUCGCGGCCUAUGCCGUCCGUACGGACGGUGCGCGUCUAGCGCUGACGUUCGCUGUGGACGGAAUACUUUUUCGUUAGACUGAACUCUGUUGAUUGACUAUUCAAAGCACAAAUCGUUAUAAGUUAUAGCAAUUCUUUUGCGGGAUAUUAAAUGAUUGAAGAAAUUUUUUAAUUAUUUUUAAUUAUUUAUUAUAAACAUUGAAAUUUACAAUUAACUAGAAUUUGGGUAAUAAACUAGAAAACUAAAUUUAGUAAAUAGAACACAAGUUAAUAAUUUAGUUGUGUGUGAAAAAUUCAGUGCUUGAGAAAACUAAAAAAAUCAGAUGUAGAGUUUUCUUAUAAGUGGUGACUACUUCAACAAUAACGAGGCACUAUUGGCAUUUGUUUACUGCCGUAAGGAAUGCAUUUAUAUUUAUUUCACACAAACGUAAUAGUAUUACUUCUGCGUAG